This 970-nucleotide long non-coding RNA is filed under the name Homo sapiens (human). RNAcentral's name for it is "non-protein coding lnc-XKR6-18:3". Lineage: Eukaryota; Metazoa; Chordata; Mammalia; Primates; Hominidae. The record is from RNAcentral.
GGGCGCGGCGAGGCCUACAGCCGCCGGCACCGGCCGCGGGGAGACAGGGGCUGGGGCUGGACGAGGCCCAAGCGCCUCUCCCGCACCGCGCGGUUCACCAGGCCUAGGACUCGGCCACAGAGAACCCCUCUCCACAGGCCCAAGGACCGCCGCUGCCGUUGGGCUCCGGGUCCCGCGUUGGCAAGCGGAGGGCAGUAGGAGAAAGCCGCCUCAGAAUCCGCUUCCACGCCCUGGCCGCUAGGGACUCCUAGCGGAAGUGGCUACUCGCUGCUGGAGCCCACAACAACUCCGGGCGGAAGCAGCAGGUCUCGAAACUCGGAAGACGCGGAAGUCGCAGCCGGAAGUUGGUCCUCGCUAGGUCCUCUGGAAAUGCCUCCGGAAACACAGCCAGACCAGAAGAUGUGUGUUCCUACGAGAAAAAAAGCUUGUCUUUGCCUUCACGCCCUCCCGCUGCCUUUCUUAACCACCUACAAAUAUUCCUUAUCAGAAGAGGUCCGGGAAGAGGGAGGAGGUCCCUGUCUUGCCUUCCUCCGCUUGAGUAGUAUCCCCUCCAGAAGCUCUUCAGAGCGUGGGGCUGCUGUAAAUUGUGAUAAUUGUUAUGCAUUAGCCCUGAAGACAUGGCAAGUAGGGGAUGGAGGCGGUGACUGUGACCUUACGGAAUCCUCCAGGGGUCAGGGAGGGACACAGGGCCACUCCACAGGCUCUCCGAGAGCGCCGCGCCACGAGGUGUAACCUGGAGCAAGAAAGAGGAAAAACAGGAAUACCUGUGAGAGGAACCCAAGUACAUGCAGUGCACAGAAGAGCAAGUCACUUGACUUGCUGGCGGCCACCCCGUUAAUCUGCAGCAGAGCCUGGACUUCAGUCUGCAUCUGUGAAACCCAGCGCAUGGGUGCGUUGGUCACCACCGCACAGCCUCCCCGUCAGACACCCACGUUUCGCCAAAAAUUUAUUCAAAUAAUUACUCCUUUGC